RNAcentral lists this long non-coding RNA (264 nucleotides) under Lathyrus oleraceus (garden pea). RNAcentral's name for it is "Pisum sativum (pea) long non-coding RNA (PSAT_LNC005025)". Lineage: Eukaryota; Viridiplantae; Streptophyta; Magnoliopsida; Fabales; Fabaceae. The record is from RNAcentral.
UCGUGUUGUUUAAUUUGUUGAUGAACCAAUUGCAUUGCUGCUAAAACCCUAGGGUUUUUGAACCCAGAAAGAUGAACAUCAAUUGGCUGAGCUACUGUUCCAUUGGCUAGUAGCCAAUCACAACAUUUCCCGUGUCCACUCAAAACGCAGUGUUUUGAUUAAUGAUGCCCAUAAUUACCAAAAUGCCAUGCGCUGACCACUUUGACUCAUUACUCCAUGUUAUGUGUUCAUGUUUGCUUCAAUUAUUCACUCAUCUUCUAAAAU